This 3921-nucleotide small RNA is filed under the name Pan troglodytes (chimpanzee). RNAcentral's name for it is "retained intron". Lineage: Eukaryota; Metazoa; Chordata; Mammalia; Primates; Hominidae. The record is from RNAcentral.
GGGCAGAGGUUUGGGCAGGGCUGAUGUGAACACAAAUGUCAGUGACUGAGCCAGGCCCCAAGAACCCUACAGGAGAAUGUUCAGAGAGCCCCCUCUUCAUCCCAGUCAAUAAAACCCACCAAAGCCAGGAGGCUCCGGUUGAUGGUGGGAAUGGAGUUCUGGGCAGGUCUGCUUGGCCGCCCUCACCUCUCCCCGGGAAUCCCAAGUCACCUCUGGGAACCAAGAUGGAAACCAGAGAAAGCCCCCUGGUUUCUACAGGAAGCCCCCCAACAACACACAAGUCGUUAUGGAAGAGCACACCAUGCUCAGACAGGCCCCCACAGCAGAGUCUUCCAGACCACGCUGUCCUGGAGACCAGGGUCCGAGGACCAGGCUGCCCCUCGCCAGCUGCCACUUCAGCCUCGGUUUCCUCACCUGUGAUGGGAAGGACAGCCUCGGCGGAGCCUGUGACUGGCAUCUGGGUGGGCUUUGCACAACAUGAAGAAUUACUCAAAUGUACAGCCAAGGCCACCCCACAACCCCCUGUCCACAGAGAGCCCCACUUGUUCCUGGCAGUGAUUGGCCUCACCAGGGUAUCACUUUGAUUAGAUACUAAGUUUCCAUCUGUUACAGACAGGUUCAUUCUGAGUAUCGCAGCACUGCCAGGGACAAAAGCCACCUGCACGCAGUGAUGCAGACGCUCUGCACCUGUCAUGCAGGUUUUCAGGAGAAGCCGUCCAGGAACCCCCGAAGAACGGGCUUUCCCCAAGUCUGAGCAACACUCGCUUGCUGGGGCCAAGCAGAGGCUGGACCCCACCCCACCCACCCUCCAGUGUAGCUCAUACUGGGAGGAAUUUGCAGGGUCAGAUAACAGUAAUCUGACAGAUGCCACCUCACUUAAUGCCCCGAGUCAGAUGACUUGGUUUGCCCAGUUUGACAGAGAGGGAGGCCGGAUACCAGAGCUGUUGCAUAGUUGAUCUGAGGUCCCUCUGCUCCCAGGGGGACAGAUCUAGGAUGCCAAUCACACAUAUAAGAAGAAGACACUGUUUGGUAAGUGAGAAAAAUUCUCCGCACAGCCUAAUCCGAGGCUUACUGCACCAGCUGUUAAUGUGCCUCUUAGUAGAGUGUCGGUGGCUAUCAGAGGACCGGCCUGAGAUCACUUUACUGAGACCACAGCUCCCUCUGGUGGCCGCACUGUGGCUCUGCUCCUAAUUAACCAAAAAAAAAAAAGUUGCAUCCAGUGACCUGGGUGCGCAGGCCCCUUCGGGGCCUUUCAUUUACUUCGGGAGGAGUGUGACUCACGACGCAGCAUCUUUCUCUUUCCCCAAAGCGCGGGCGUGGGCCGGACGGGCACCUUCAUUGUGAUCGAUGCCAUGAUGGCCAUGAUGCACGCGGAGCAGAAGGUGGAUGUGUUUGAAUUUGUGUCUCGAAUCCGUAAUCAGCGCCCUCAGAUGGUUCAAACGGAUGUGAGUCAUGCCUUCCUCUUGCCCUGGUCUAGCUUCCCAAAGCAAACCUGAUGGCUUCGCCACACAGGUGUGCAGGGCCCUGGCUCUGAUGGGCAUGUGGCAACCAGCCUGGGCCUGGCCUGGCUUCCCUCCCCAUAGCCUUCCCUGCCCACGCGUGGGACCUCAGGGACUCCCUCGUCCUCAUCUUUCCCUCGUAUCCUCAUGUGAGAUGGGGCAAUCCUACUCCCCCACACGGUGCAUGUACACAGCGCGUGGCGUGCUCACCAAUGUGAGGCUCUGCUGCUACCGUUCUCCUUACUCAAGGGCAUAAAUGGUCAUUAUCCGUGGCCGGUACUCUGACUCUUGCCCCACACCUCCUUGUGUUGGCAAAAAGAGAAAAAGAAGAGAGCCGCCCCCUUUGGUCUGCCAAGCUCCACGUGGGCCAAGACUGCAGGGCAGAGUUGAGGGUGUGGGCACCCCUGGCCUCUCUGCAGAUGCAGUACACGUUCAUCUACCAAGCCUUACUCGAGUACUACCUCUACGGGGACACAGAGCUGGAUGUGUCCUCCCUGGAGAAGCACCUGCAGACCAUGCACGGCACCACCACCCACUUCGACAAGAUCGGGCUGGAGGAGGAGUUCAGGAAAUUGACAAAUGUCCGGAUCAUGAAGGAGAACAUGAGGACGGGCAACUUGCCGGCAAACAUGAAGAAGGCCAGGGUCAUCCAGAUCAUCCCGUGUAAGGCACCCGUGGCGUGGCUUGGGCAGGGCUGGGGCGGGGCUGGUGCCGGAGGCUUUCAUCCUGGAGAAGCCAUUGACCGCUUACCCCUGUGCACCAGGGUCAAAAGCAGGGUGUCCUCUGGCCUCAGGCUAAGGGCUCCUGUGUGCUGUACCAAAUGUCAGGUAGAAAAGACACCUGUGAAGCACCAGCUGACCCAGACAGUCCUGCAUGGGUCUCAGGCAAGCUGCUUGGGAUAUGAGCUUGCAGGUGCGGGAGGGCAGCCGAGGCUGAUUUCAGGGGAGGGCUUCACAGAAGCUGGAGAUUUGCGGCAGGCACGACUUGGGAUUCCUUGUCUCCCCAAGCCUGGGCAGAGGCCCGCCUCCCCCUUACACAGAGGGGCCUGAGCCACCCAGCCGAGGCCAUGCAGGUGAACUCAGCUGAGACCACCUAGGAAAAGGCUGUGGCCUUGAGGAGGACAAGAAAUGGGCCCAGGGUAGAGUCAGGACACUGGUCUGCCACCCAGGUCAUGGGAGAGGGAAGGAGGACCUGGCAGGUGUGGGAGGAGUGGAGGCAAAGCUGGCAAGAAGACAGGGCCACACGCAGUGGGCAGGGGAGUGGGAGUCGGGAGGCUCACCAAGUGGGAAAAAGAGAAACUUGAGAAACCCAGCCCAAAAGCAGACUCCACAGGGAUCCGAGGAACUAGGGAGGGAGGUGGGAGAUGCCCCGCUUGGGAGGAGGGUGUGCCUCAUUAUAGACGUGUCCUCGACGGAGUCACAGCUCAACAAACACCAUCUGGAAACAGCUGUGAGCAGGCCUGCUGCAGCAGGGUCUCCCCGAGCACUGCAGGCGAGUAGAGCUCCCCGGGGCCCUGCCAUCUUCAGACUCUGGCCCCUGGUUUUCUGGGGUCCCGGUGUCCUGCUGGCCACCUUAGAUUGCUUGCCUGGCCACAUUCCAUUUACUCCUUCAGUGCAAUAUUUUUAGUGCUUGUAUUUUGGUAUGUAUUAUAUCGAUUCCUGAAAAAUGAAAAUGAUAAUUGGGUUGUUUUCAGAGUUUUCCUUCAAAAAGAAAAAUACCCCUGAGCCACUUUAAUUAUCGUCUCUCAUAAUGUAAACUUUCCAAAGAGUUGGCUUUACCUAGUGAUUUUAUUAAUAGGAUCUAUAUUUUGCAAGCUUGUAGCAAUAGAUUAAAGUUAGCAAGGUGGGACCCUUUUUGUAAUAACUAAAGGAAGAUAAUGCUUUGCAGAUGACUUCAACCGAGUGAUCCUUUCCAUGAAAAGGGGUCAAGAAUACACAGACUACAUCAACGCAUCCUUCAUAGAUGUACGUAUGCUGGCCUGGGUUGUGUUUAUGCAGAUGUGUUUCCUUCACAUGUGACCACAGACUUGAUUAGCUUGUUUUCACAAUGAGAAAGAAUUGACAUGUUUCCAGAAACUCAGCCAUUUUUGUUAGCAGAAUUACUUGCUUAAAAAAAAAGUGGCAAGGCACGAUGGCUCACACCUGUAAUCCCAACACUUUGGGAAGCUAAGGCGGGCAGAUCACUUGGGGUCAGGAGUUUGAAACUAGCCUGGCCAAUAUGGCAAAACCCGUCUCUACUAAAAAUACAAAAAUUAGCUGGGUGUGAUGGCAGGUGUCUGUAAUCCCAGCUACUCGGGAAGCUGAGGCAGGAGAAUUGCUUGAAUCCGGGAGGCUGAGGUUGCAGUGAGCUGAGAUUACACCACUGUACUCCAGCCUGGGCAACAGAGCGAGAGCGAGACCCCCUCUCAAAAAAAAAAAAAAAA